Molecule: ribosomal RNA, 253 nt
Filed under: uncultured bacterium
Lineage: Bacteria
Description: partial 16S ribosomal RNA
Rfam family: Bacterial small subunit ribosomal RNA
Source: RNAcentral
UACGGGGGGGGCAAGCGUUGUUCGGAAUUACUGGGCGUAAAGGGCUCGUAGGUGGCCAACUAAGUCAGACGUGAAAUCCCUCGGCUUAACCGGGGAACUGCGUCUGAUACUGGAUGGCUAGAGUUUGGGAGAGGGAUGCGGAAUUCCAGGUGUAGCGGUGAAAUGCGUAGAUAUCAGGAAGAACACCCGUGGCUAAGGCGGCUCUCUAGUACGGUACUGACGCCGAGACGCGAAAGCGUGGGGAGCGAACAGG